CUUCAGCUUUUUGUGAUUUUGGUACGCGUGCUCCAAAUUCAGACUUCAGACAUUGGGGCCAACAUGGCAGACGUUGCACCCCACUUGAUACCAAAAAAGGGCAUAACUUCUUGGUACAGAUGAUCAAUUUGAGAAAAUAGACUAGGUGAAACUGGGAAGAACCUAGUACCUACUGGGCUGCACCCAAUUUAAGCUCCCUGGGUAGCGCCACAGUGGCAACGAAAGUGCAAUAAUUUAUCGGAAACAAAAAAAUGGCCGAGUCACCAGGACGCGUACGGCGGACUUUUGACUUCUCUGAGUCCGAAUCCGAAGACGACUCGGAAGAAAAUGUUUUCAAGACCGCUAAGAAAGUGCUGCCUGGAAAGCAAGGUCUGGAUGCAGAGAAAAUUAAAAAGAUUGACCGACCAAGCUCAGCGAAAGACCUAUCUGAGGAUGAAGUGCAAGAUAUGUACACAAUAGAGUAUGAGAUUCAAGAACACUCUGGGACUAACGAAGGGCAAGACACUGGUUCAACAUCGGAUCCUGUAAAUUUUCGAACAGUGUGCAAGGAAUGUGGAACAUCCUUUUCAUGUAAGGAAAUGUUUUUCCUUCACCGCCACUAUCACACUCACAAAGAUGAACUCCUUCCCCUCAUCUGUGAACAAUGCGGCCUCUCCUUUACGGAUCGUUGCAGCCUCAUUAGACACAAGCAUACGCACACAGAAGAGCCAAAAUAUGUGGAUGAAGUUAGAUUUCAGUGUGCUUCGUGUGAAACGUUUUUCCCUACUCCGCAAGAAUUGAGGUUACACCAAUGUGACGAUACAGAUGACAAACCUUAUCAUUGUACUUUGUGCCGCAAAGAGUUCCAAUUAACGUGCGCUGUCGCCAAGCACAUGCUAAACCACUCUCAAGAGGGCAGCUGGACAUGCCAAGAGUGUGGUAAAAGCUUCCCAGACUACAGGACAUUGCGCUGCCAUCAGCAAUGUCACGCUGUCCUUAAAACCUUUGAAUGUCCGAAGUGCAACAUGACUUUCACACACAGGUAUAUCAUGGAAGCCCACCUGAGUAGGCACACCAAAAGAGAGCGUGCUUUCCUUUGUCCCAUUUGCGGGAAGACUUUCAAGUGCAACAGUCUUCUUCAAGAAAAAGCGCGUACCAAUAGAAUUACCUUCUGCUGUCCUGACUGUGAGAUUCAGCUCGCUGGCCAAAAUGAGAGCACAGAUGAAGAUUGAUGAGGUGGAGAAUGAUUUACACGGGAGGAGAGUGCAACUUCAUUCACAGUUUUAAAAGGUGUUGUUGGAAAGGUGUCUGAGAAAGAUGCUUUGGACGAGAGCGAGAAAAACCCAGAACGAGAGAGAUGAUGAGGAUCCUUACUGUGAAAAUGAAGAUUGAAAGGAAGACAAACAAGGUCAAGGAUUAGGUCUGGUCACAGGAGCACCUCCCAACCUCAGAACAAUGGCUGCACACCUCCUUGUUUUACAGAGACUUCCUCAUUGGUAGCCGUUUAGUGGAGAAAUCAGGUGGACAAGUUGUCAGGAAGUAGCAAUUUUUUUCACAGUAGAUGUUAGAACACUUGUUUGAGCUACAACCCCAGCAAAAAGUAUGGAAUCGCCAGUCUCGGACGAGCACUCACUCAGACAUUUUAUCAUGUAGAAAAAAACUCAGAUAAAAAGCUUGAAAAAUAAUGAAUUCGUUCAAAAGUGCAACUCUUUAGCAUUCAGAAACACUAAAAGAAAUGAAUUAAAAACAUUGUGGUGGUCAGUAAAAUGUUACUUUUAGAGAGCAAGUGCAGGGAAAUAAAUAUAGAAUCACUCCAUUCCGAGGAAAAAUAUGUGGAAUCAUGAGAAACAAAUAAUAAUCAAAACAUCUCGAGUAUUGAGUUGCACCACCUCUGGCUUUUAUGACAGCUUGCAUUCUCUGAGGCAUGGACUUGAUGAGUGAUAAACAGUAUUGUUCAUCAAUUUGGUGCCAAUUCUCUUUGAUUGCAGUUGCCAGAUCAUCCUUGCAGGUGGGAGCCUUGCUGUGGACCAUUUUUUAAAAUUUCCUCCAUAGAUUUUCAAUAGGGUUGAGAUUUGGGCUAUUUGCAGGCCAUGACAUUGACUGGAUGAGUCUCCAAGGAAUGCUUUAACAGUUUUAACUCUGUUGCAUGAUGCAUUGUCAUCUUGGAAAAUGAUUUCAUUAUACCCAAACAUAUUUUUAAUUGAAGGGAUAAGAAAUCUGUCUAAAAUUUCAAUGUAAACUUUUGCAUUUAUUGAAGAUUUAACUACAGCCAUCUCACCAGUGCCUUUGCCUGACAUGCUGCCCGUAUCAUAAAGGACUGAGGGAAUUUUGAUGUUUUCUUCAGGCAGUCAUCUUUGUAAAUCUCACUGGAACUGCACCAAACAAAAGUUCCAGCAUCAUCACCUUGUUCAAUGCAGAUUCUUGACUCAAAAUAACCUUCAUCCAGUCAUUCACAGUCCAUGAUUGCAUCUCCUUAGCCCAUUACAGUCUUUUUCUUUUCUGUUUAAGUGUCAAUGAUGGUUUCCUUUUAGCUUUCCUGUAUGAAAAUUCUAUUGCUUUUAGACUAUUUUUGCACAGUUCUGUUGCAUACCUUGACUCCAGCAUCCUUCCAUUUCCAUCUUCAUUUGUCUUGUUGUACAUCUUCUGUUUUCAAGACAUAUUGCCUUUAGUAGUUUGUCAUGACGUUUGGAUGUCGUCCUCGGUCUACCAGUCCGCUUAACUUUAAGAACCUUGUCAUGCUGUUUGUACUUGGUCCAGAUUUUUGGUUACAGCUGACUGUGAACAGCCCACAUCUUUGGCAACCAUACGUGUAGUGUUACCCUCAAGAAGUUUGAUAAUCUCUCCUUGGUCUCAAGAGACAUCUCUCUUGUUGGAGCCAUGAUUCUUGGUCCAGCAGCUCUCCAAGGUGUGAUAACUGCACCCUUUUUAACUGCUGACUAACGAGCAGAUCUAAUCUGAGGCAGGGGCCCAAUUAAGGAAAGGAAAUUGACUGGGUGUGUCUGUAUUUUCUACUCAAAAUGGAGUGAUUCUACAUUUUUUUCUUCAGAAUGGAGUGAUUCUAUAUUCAUUUCCCUGCACUUGCUCUAUAAAAGUAACAUUUGCUGACCACCACAAUGGUUUUUAUUCAUUUCUUUUAGUGUUUCUGAAUGCCAAGGAGUUGCACUUUUGAACUAAUUCCUUAUUUUUUCAAGCUUUUCAUCUGAGUUUGUUCUACAUAAUAAAAUGUCUGAGUGAGUGCUUGUCAGAGACGUUUUGCUAGGGGUUGUACAAGAGGUGUUGCACUCUCCAGCACUCCUAUUAGUCUCUGAAUGAGCAGCAACAAUGAGAGCAACAAACAUGCAGUUCUUGCAUAUAUUGAUGACAUAACAUGUCAAAGUGCUUCAAAUGAAGAUUAUUUUCUUAUUAACGUCAAGUAGAUUACUCGUAGCUGCGUCAACAAACUUAAAUUUUAGAUUUUUACUUAGAUUGCAAACCAUAUUAAACAAAUGUAAUGUUAGCUGUAUCACUUAAAGCAACACUCGGUACCUUUUCAACCUUUAUAAAAUAUUUUCAUAACAUUUGUGACAUGUCGACUGACAACUUCUUGAAUGACACCUCUUUUAUAUUUUGAGGGGCUCUGUAUCGCUUUCACCGACACUCAUUAACUUUAGAGACAAAACGUUUUGUCUGAGGAGGAAAAAAAGGAAGGCUACAAGGAUAUACAGAAUAAACAUUGACCCGGCUUUCACUCGCUGACGUAAGGCCCCCCCUCCCCCCAGCGCUGCAGCGUUGGUCCUCAUGGGAAACGCAGUUUUCCUUAAGGGAAAGCACUACCGCUUUUGUCCACCGGCGUCGCAAAAAUCGAGCAAAACUGAAAAGUUACCUAGUGUUGCUUUAACCAUGUGUUACUAGACAAACUCUAAGACUAACUUAAAGCUCACUGGUUUUAAAGGGAAAGGCAACACCUAGUAUAAAUGACUUUCAUAUGAACGACGUCUGUUUUAAGUAUUUACACAAAUUUCUUUGACCUUUGAUAAUGGAGAACCUAAUGUUUAAAUAGAUAAUGACAUGGCUUACGAACGCAGGCAUUUUUUUGACAUCAGUUACAGAUAACAUCACCAGAAACGGGCAAAUGGGAUACUUACUUUUAUUUGGUUAAAAUUGUUACGUUUUGUUGUUCAUUUUGAUCUAAUGUCUGCCUCCACACUGAAUGGUCACUUCCUGGAAAUACUGAUUUGUAUUGAUGUUUCUCUCCACUCUUACACUGAAACUAUUUUACGAAAUGAUUUUUGCAGUGAUGCAAAUGGCUAAGGUGUUGUCUUCCCUUUUGACAGCAUCACAGCUGGAGCCAAGAUUGUUUUCUAGCUGGCCUAUUGCCAUCGUAUGUUUGAUUUUGUGAAAGCGAUAUUUUUGCAGAUGUGAAAUACAUUAAAGUUCAAACUAAAUGUAUGACUUGUUGGUUGCUUGUGAUCCUCUUGCAGAUAUUAUAGGGUUGUAUUAGUAUUACUUUCCAAUAAUGUCGGUAUGAUUUUUUUUUUUUUUUUUUAUCAACAUUUUAUUUCCUCACUUUCUGCCAUAAAUGGCGCUUGACGUCCAAUUUAUUUAACUUAGACAGGCUUAUAGUGAAUGGCCGCUACCAGGACAGUGAAACAUGAUCAUUCAAAACCAAUCCUUAUAUAUUUGCUCUGAAAAUUGAAAAAGUUUUGUUUUAUGAAUCUUACCUCACACCGCUUAUCUUUGGCUUCCAAUGACGGCAAUAGACGCCCAAUCCAUUUUAACUAGGAGGUUCUGUAACUUCUCAGUAUAAAUGGACUGGACGUCUAUUGCAGUCGGUAGGUGUUUGGGUGUUGGAGAGCAUUUAAAAAAAAAAAUCUUUAAACAGCGAAACCCUAUCUGGAGGUGAGAGCACGCGAAAGCAGAAUUAAAGACGCCAUGACUUUGAAGAGAUAUUAUCGCGUACUUACUAGAUGUGAAUGGCCACAGCUGGAUUUUUGGGGGGGAUUUUAUGGGUGAAACAUGGUAACAUAACAAGAGUUGCGAUGCAGAAAUCGCAGACAUCCAGAAGAGGUCGAGAUUUUCAUAUAUUUACCCUUUUAAACGUUUUUUUCACCAUUUUUCUUUGGAUCGAUUAUUUAUCAUGUAGCAUAUCGGAGAAAAUGCGACAGUAACAAAAGAAAAAAAAAACAAGCGAUAUUUAUGAGGUAGAUAUCCUUGACUUUUUUUACAGACACCAUUUUUUUCAUUGUGACGUUACUUGUUUAAAAGUUUAAAAUAUGUGAGUGAACAAUUUUUUAAAGUUUUUUUUGGGGGGGGACGAAAUAUUAGACAUCAAUUAAUGAUUCUAAGCUUAAAAUGACAGACAUUUUGAAUAAUAUAAUUACUUCUUUUUAUGGCUGGGUUGAAACAACAGCGGUUGUGCGACGUCUGUAAAUGGGGGUUUCCAGGGUAAAACGGACAAAUUAAAAAUAGUUCGGGGACUUAAUACGCCAUGAAUCUGCUAUGGCAGCAUAUAGACAUAUUUUUUUAUCAAACACAACAGCUCUUUUAGCUUCAAAUACAGUAGGUUAUUUUAAAGAGGGGUACAAGAGCAGAAACUGCUUUUUCAGCCAUAUCUGUGUUUUCCGCCAUAUACAUAUAUAGCAGAAAACACUCAGGUGACUCGAA
Corythoichthys intestinalis (scribbled pipefish) is the source of this 5622-nucleotide RNA transcript. It is a transcript of the gene named zinc finger protein OZF-like, with no coding region annotated. NCBI's taxonomy places the organism in Eukaryota, Metazoa, Chordata, Actinopteri, Syngnathiformes, Syngnathidae. The transcript is spliced from 4 exons. The record is from RefSeq and is a predicted model, not a curated record.